Molecule: transfer RNA, 72 nt
Filed under: Marmota monax (woodchuck)
Lineage: Eukaryota; Metazoa; Chordata; Mammalia; Rodentia; Sciuridae
Rfam family: tRNA
About the family: Transfer RNA (tRNA) molecules are approximately 80 nucleotides in length. Their secondary structure includes four short double-helical elements and three loops (D, anti-codon, and T loops). Further hydrogen bonds mediate the characteristic L-shaped molecular structure. tRNAs have two regions of fundamental functional importance: the anti-codon, which is responsible for specific mRNA codon recognition, and the 3' end, to which the tRNAs corresponding amino acid is attached (by aminoacyl-tRNA synthetases). tRNAs cope with the degeneracy of the genetic code in two manners: having more than one tRNA (with a specific anti-codon) for a particular amino acid; and 'wobble' base-pairing, i.e. permitting non-standard base-pairing at the 3rd anti-codon position.
Source: Rfam by way of RNAcentral
UGUGGUAUAGCGCAGUGGUAGAGCGCUUGCUUAGCAUGUAUGAGGCACUGGGUUCCAUCCUCAGCACCACAC